Scatophagus argus is the source of this 490-nucleotide long non-coding RNA. RefSeq lists it as uncharacterized. Lineage: Eukaryota; Metazoa; Chordata; Actinopteri; Scatophagidae. The transcript has 2 exons. The record is from RefSeq and is a predicted model, not a curated record.
UUAUCUAUCAGAGAAUAUGUGACUAUUCAACACAUCUUGACAUCAUUCAGUGAAAGUUCAUAGUAUUUAUGGAGUGAGGAAAGGUUUCCAAUGUUCUUCACUAUGAAAUUGGUUUGCCAUGAGACCAAUACAACAGCCAGGCCGGCCUCAAAAAUCAAGUUAUCAAUCAGGAUGUAGUUUAAGCAUAAAUUAGGGACUGUAUGAAAAUAAUCAUGUGAGGGGGGGUUUAAUUUUACAUUUCACUUUUAAAAAAAAACCCCAAAAAACAAAAACAUUUCCAGUAUGACACUUCCUAUUGACUUGAAAAACAGCAGUCUUCUCCUACCAUCUGAAAACACAGGACCGAGUUAGUGUAACUCGUAUCUCCUUUACUAAAUAAAAAGUAAAGCGUACAGAAUUUAAGACUCUAUUACUAUUGCAUAACAGUUCCAAAAAAAAAAAAAAAAAGAAAAUUAUGAAUAUUCCAGUUCCAAUAGAUCACGAGAUAACA